This 1014-nucleotide long non-coding RNA is filed under the name Mytilus galloprovincialis (Mediterranean mussel). Lineage: Eukaryota; Metazoa; Mollusca; Bivalvia; Mytilida; Mytilidae. The record is from RNAcentral.
ACGCCGGACGCCAAGUGAUGAGAAAAGCUCACUUGGCCCUUCGGGCCAGGUGAGCUAAAAAUACAUUAACUGACAAAUUCAUUAUUCGUCGUUUUGACUCGAACUCUGAUAAGGUAUAUAACUAUCUCACAAGUUUUAAACAACACAUGAGAUCAUAUAGUAUCAAAAUAUUUGCUUAUAUAUAUUUUUUCAAUUUGAUUUCUGUUUGAUAGUUGCUUAUCAUUUGACAUAAAAGCUAACAUGAGCUGUAAUAUUCAAAUUGUGAUAAAUCUCUUCCUAUUAAACAGGGAGUUAAAACCAAAGAAAUAAGAAAUAAAAGAUCCUGCAAACCUUGUAGUGACAUAAUAGAUGGUAAAUGACAACUCCUUUUAAAUUGUCCCUUAUACAAAACAGUUAAGAAUGGUUUGAUAUUUACAAGAAUUUGAUUAGGGAGAAAAAUAUUCAAUCGGUUAUACAUUUUCUUAAUCUGGAUAAUCGUUAAAAGCCCGACAAAUAUUUCAUAACACAGUUUUAUUUUCUCUCAAUCGAAUUAUAACUAUUGAACAGCGGUAUCACAACAAACUAGUAAAAGUCUGAAAUAUCUGUACUCAACUGUACUGAAUUUUACUCAACCAGUCUGAAUUGGUCUGAAAUUUACUAGAUAAAACUCGACUGUAGUCUUAACCAUACUUCAUAGUCUGAACUUGUAUGUAACCAGUUUAAAUGCGUCUAAACCAUUCCUUACCUAGUCUGAACCAUACUCGACAUAGUCUGAACCAUACUUGACCUAGUCUAAACCAUACUCGACAUAGUCUGAACCAUCCUCGACCUCGUCUGAACAAUAUUCGAUCAGGUUUUAACCAACUUAGACCUAUAUUUUUGUAUCUAUACAUUGUACUUUUUUCAAUUUAGGAAGUGGAAAUUUAGACAACAAUUACAAUUAUAAAUUAAUUUUAUUUAGCAUUUAAACCAAAUUUCACAAUAAACAUUAUCUUACCGUAACACCAUAUAUAUAACAUUUAAAAAAAGAUAAAA